CCUCGUGUGAAAAUUGUGCACACAUCGACCAAAUAUGAAGGACAAGUCUACAUUCCUGAAAUCAAUUACCUUCUUAUGAUUGCUUGUGUAGCAGUUACUCUUGGUUUCAGAAGUACUACGAAUAUUGGCAAUGCAUAUGGGAUUGCUGUGGUGUUUGUAAUGACUCUCACAUCAGCCUUUCUCGUAUUGAUCAUGCUCAUGAUUUGGAAAACAAACAUUCUCCUUGUAAUUGCCUAUGUGCUAACCAUUGGCGUGGUGGAGCUUGUGUAUUUAAGUUCGGUCCUCUACAAAUUUGAUCAAGGAGGAUAUUUACCGUUAGCCUUUGCUGCAGUUCUGAUGACUGUAAUGUUUGUCUGGAAUGAUGUGUACCGAAGAAAGUACUAUUAUGAGCUCGAAAACAAGUUUUCUCCAGAUAAGCUGAAGGAGAUUGCUGCUGAGACCAAUUUUAGUAGACUUCCGGGACUUGCCAUGUUCUACUCUGAGCUUGUUCAGGGUAUCCCUCCCAUCUUCAAGCAUUAUGUGGCAAAUGUGCCUGCACUUCACUCUGUACUUGUUUUUGUUUCCAUCAAAUCACUUCCGAUUGGAAAGGUUCCAGUGGAAGAACGAUUCCUUUUCCGCAAAGUAGAACCAAUGGAGCUCAACGUUUUUCGUUGUGUAGCACGAUAUGGAUACACCGAUGUUCGCAAUGAGAAUGAGCCCUUUGAGAGAAUGCUGAUUGAAAAAUUGACGGAGUUCGUCAGAGAUGAUUACUGUUUAAGGCAGGCAAUUCUUAGUAAAGGUGAAACUGUCAAUGAUCAAGAAUUGGAUGAUGGACAAGUUGAUGAAAAUAGAAACACAAUGCAAGAAGAUUUAGAGGAUGUGGAUAACCAGUUGGAUAUGAUCGACAAAGCAUGGCGUGCUGGAGUUGUUCACUUGAUCGGUGAGAACGAUGUGGUUGCAGGCAAAGGAUCAAAUAUUGCGAAAAGAAUUUUGAUAGAUUAUGCAUACAAUUUCUUGAAAAGAAACUUAAGACAAAGUGAGAAGGUGUUUGAUAUUCCUCAGAAGCGCAUGCUCAAAGUGGGUAUGACUUACGAGCUUUAGGAAAUGAAAUAAAUUAAGGUGGGACAUGGAUCAACAUGAGAGUCAUAGAAAUGAAAAGACAGUUGCUAAGUACAGCUAAACAGGAAGAUAAGCAACGGAUUCCUGCUAUCUAGUCUUAAUAUUGCUAAUUGAUGCAUCAUUUUUUCUCUGCAAGUAGUACCAUUGUAUAUGCUAGGAAAUGAAAUAAAUUAAG
Molecule: unclassified non-coding RNA, 1273 nt
Filed under: Hevea brasiliensis (rubber tree)
Lineage: Eukaryota; Viridiplantae; Streptophyta; Magnoliopsida; Malpighiales; Euphorbiaceae
Source: RNAcentral